This is a long non-coding RNA of Octopus sinensis (East Asian common octopus), 970 nucleotides long. RefSeq lists it as uncharacterized. NCBI's taxonomy places the organism in Eukaryota, Metazoa, Mollusca, Cephalopoda, Octopoda, Octopodidae. The transcript is spliced from 3 exons. The record is from RefSeq and is a predicted model, not a curated record.
UAUAUAAAGAGAGAGAGAGAGAAGCAGAUUCUAACAGAUAAAUAAUUUGACAGCAAUAGAUGAAGUCAGAAGAAGCAAAUACGGAACUACAGCGGCUGCAAAUGAGUUUCUGACUUUUCGCAAAGCAUUGUGGGAUUGUCGUUUCAAUAUUAAUGGCGGCGAGUUUGUAAAAAAUCUGAAUUCAAUUUCUGGACUUUUCUGUCUUCAAUCUGAAAAUAUUUGCCUUGUUUAUUCACUGAAUAUUGUUUGUAAGUUUGAGCUUGUAUGAAUACAUAUUACUUAAAAGGAUUUUAAUGAGUAACGAUUGUAAACAAACAGGAAUUGUGAAUGAAGUCAACAGAAGAAUUUCCGAAAAAAUUUUACCAAGCAAGAAGCUUCACCUGUAUGAAGUAUCCCAUCCAUCAUGCCUCAGAGGUGUUCAGUAGGGUUCAUAUCUGGUGAUUGGCUUAGCUAUGGAAGCUUUUUAAUGCCAUUCUCUUCCAACCAAUCCUGGGUCUUUUAGUUGUGCAAGAAAGCCCUAUCUUCCAUAAAUAGUGUUAUUUAAUCAUUUUACCCCUGGAGGUUAUAGGAAGAAGAUUUUUCUAUAAUAUGGACACAUAUGAGUUUAUGUAUCCCUCACAUUCCACCAUUUCUGAUUGACUAUUGCUCCAAACUGCUCUCCAGACCAUCACAUGUUUCAUUGUUGGCUGCAAUAUAUUCACGUGAAAAUAUUGGUGACUGAUUCUCCAGACCCACAUUCAACCAGUGUCAGAAAAUACAGCAAAUCUGGAUUCAUCAGAGAAUUUGACAGUGUCCCAAAGUGCUAGUGACCUCUCUACCGUUUCACUUGUCCAAUCUUUUCUCCAUUUGAUAUUGGCUGGUCGAAGCAGUGUCUUCUUUCUUGCUGCUCUGCCAUAAUAGCCAAUUUUGCAGAGAUAACUGACAGCUAUUCUGGGACUGACAUCAACUUAUUCUGCUAUAUUGGAGGCCU